Molecule: non-coding RNA, 1470 nt
Organism: Danio rerio (zebrafish)
Lineage: Eukaryota; Metazoa; Chordata; Actinopteri; Cypriniformes; Danionidae
Source: RefSeq, a predicted model, not a curated record
GCGACGAAACGCUAGCCCAGAUAGUCAUGCAGUGUGAAAACAUCUGUGACACGACUAGUUUGAAAAUCAUGUAGCCUGAACUCUGCAUUACUGGAACACCUAAAUUCAAUGACUAGGUUGCAUGACCUAAACAUUUGGCAGUAUGUACUUGGUAAACAGUAUUUGUUUAUAAAUAAAUUACUUGUUUAGUCUUGUUUAACCAAUUGUUUUGUCUUCCAAUUUCAGCUGAAAGUGAUAAAAGCUCUGAUAAUGCUGAUCCCUUUUCGUAAGUAAAUCUACAAAACCUAAAUCAACAAAUCAGAUGACAAAGAACAUUAGAGUAUAAGAUAACAGAUUUGGUUUGAAGAUCUUUCCAUCUUUUAAUUUAAAAAAUCACUUUUACUGUUUAAAUUUGGUCUGAGUGACAUUUCAAGCUGUUAUCUAAUUUUGCUUUUAGUAACAACUCCUUAGGUGGAAACCCUUCAAAUGGUACAGACAACCAAAAGAAUGUGAAGGAGCCCGGGAUCUGGGUUUUUCUGCUCUGUAUUGCGGUGCCACUACUUCUGCUUCUGAUGCUGGUUUUGGUAAUCUGGAGGAUUAUACAAAAACACAAUUUGUCAUCACAAAAGCCAGAUGCCUGUUCAGUGGGACAGACAGAAGGUACAUUGACAUAUGACAUGGUGGUCUUCAAGACAGCAAAGAAUGAUGAACGAAACUCGAUCAGCCAUCCUCCUGACCAAGUUGAAGUGAUCUACAGCGCUGUGAAACAUCACUAAUAACAUGAUCUUUGACACGCUGCUCGUUCAUAUUAUGAAUAUAGCAAUCUGAAGUAAUGGCAUCUUAGUCGGUUUUACACCGCCUACGAUUGAAGCCACAAAAGACGUGAGAGAUAAAAAGAGGAACCUUCUGCACAUUUUCAUACGUGUUGCAUUUGAAUGAGGGGUCAUGGUUGUGUCAUUUUUUUUUCAUAAUACUAUUGUGAAAGUGUCACCUGUUUAUUAGCACAGAUGUCUGUGGAGGUGAAUUUUGUUCCGCUUUGGUCUGUGAGAAGUAAAACUGAAACACGCCAUGACCACAUUAGAAAGGGAAGCAAUCAGUUCCAGGCAAUGUAAGACUUGUUGCACCACUUCAGAAAAGCCCAGAAAAAAGACACUCACUUGUUUGUUUUUGCAAUUAAGCAUUGUUUUUUUAUUUGUGCUUUUUAAUAUUUGGUAUUAUAAUGGUCUGUUGCAUGAAAUCUUAUUAAAGCUGACAUUUUUUUUUUUUUUGCCCUUUUCCACAUUAAUAUGCUAACUGUAUAAUAAUAUUCAUUGAAAAAAUGCUGCAAUUUGCUGUACAUUAAGGAAUAUUUUAAUGGCUUUGGAAUUUUAGUUAAUGCAUAAAAUAUACUGUGUGGAUAUGGCUUUUGUGCUAUGCAAUUGUAUUUUUUAAAAAUGUUUAUAUAUAUGACAAUGUGAAAAAAAGAGUUUUUGAAAUUGUAGGAAAUUUAUU